CAGUAGCCGCGGGAAUACGGAGGGGGCUAGCGUUGUUCGGAAUUACUGGGCGUAAAGCGUGCGUAGGCGGUUCGUUAAGUCUGCUGUGAAAGCCCCGGGCUCAACCUGGGAAUGGCAAUGGAUACUGGCGAGCUAGAGUGUGUCAGAGGAUGGUGGAAUUCCCGGUGUAGCGGUGAAAUGCGUAGAGAUCGGGAGGAACAUCAGUGGCGAAGGCGGCCAUCUAGGACAACACUGACGCUGAGGCACGAAAGCGUGGGGAGCAAACAGGAUUAGAUACCCCCGUAGUCCCUGUCUCUUAUAA
This 301-nucleotide ribosomal RNA is filed under the name uncultured bacterium. RNAcentral's name for it is "partial 16S ribosomal RNA". It matches the Rfam family "Bacterial small subunit ribosomal RNA", at positions 509 to 809 of the family's 1533-position model. The record is from RNAcentral.